GAUGAACGCUGGCGGCGCGCUUAACACAUGCAAGUCGAACGAGAAAGGGCUUCGGCCCCGGUACAGUGGCGCACGGGUGAGUAACACGUAGGUAACCUGCCCUUGAGUGGUGGAUAACAUUCCGAAAGGAGUGCUAAUACAGCAUAAGACCACGGUUCCAUCAAGGAACAGGGGUCAAAGCGGGCCUCUUCAUGAAAGCUCGCGCUUGGGGAUGGGCCUGCGGCGCAUCAGCUAGUUGGUGAGGUAAUGGCUCACCAAGGCUAAGACGCGUAGCUGGUCUGAGAGGGUGACCGGCCACACUGGGACUGAGACACGGCCCAGACUCCUACGGGGGGCAGCAGUGGGGGAUCUUGCACAAUGGGCGAAAGCCUGAUGCAGCGACGCCGCGUGAGCGAAGAAGGCCUUCGGUUGUAAAGCUCUGUCUGGAGGGACGAACGAAAAUAGACGGUACCUCCGGACGGAAGCCACGGCUAACUACGUGCCAGCAGCCGCGGUAAACUACG
RNAcentral lists this ribosomal RNA (503 nucleotides) under uncultured bacterium. Its description in RNAcentral is "bacterial SSU rRNA". It matches the Rfam family "Bacterial small subunit ribosomal RNA", at positions 28 to 527 of the family's 1533-position model. The record is from RNAcentral.